CGCUGGCGGCAGGCCUAACACAUGCAAGUCGAGCGGCAGCGACAUCAACAAUCCUUCGGGUGCGUUGAUGGGCGGCGAGCGGCGGACGGGUGAGUAAUGCCUGGGAACAUGCCUUAGUGUGGGGGAUAACCAUUGGAAACGAUGGCUAAUACCGCAUAAUCUCUACGGAGCAAAGCGGGGGACCUUCGGGCCUCGCGCGCUAAGAUUGGCCCAGGUGGGAUUAGCUAGUAGGUGGGGUAACGGCUCACCUAGGCGACGAUCCCUAGCUGGUCUGAGAGGAUGAUCAGCCACACUGGAACUGAGACACGGUCCAGACUCCUACGGGAGGCAGCAGUGGGGAAUAUUGCACAAUGGGGGAAACCCUGAUGCAGCCAUGCCGCGUGUGUGAAGAAGGCCUUCGGGUUGUAAAGCACUUUCAGCAGUGAGGAAGAGGUGGUGUUUAAUAGAUGCCAUCUUUGACGUUAGCUGCAGAAGAAGCACCGGCUAACUCCGUGCCAGCAGCCGCGGUAAUACGGAGGGUGCGAGCGUUAAUCGGAAUUACUGGGCGUAAAGCGCAUGCAGGCGGCGUGUUAAGCCAGAUGUGAAAGCCCGGGGCUCAACCUCGGAAUCGCAUUUGGAACUGGCAUGCUAGAGUCUUGUAGAGGGGGGUAGAAUUUCAGGUGUAGCGGUGAAAUGCGUAGAGAUCUGAAGGAAUACCGGUGGCGAAGGCGGCCCCCUGGACAAAGACUGACGCUCAGAUGCGAAAGCGUGGGGAGCAAACAGGAUUAGAUACCCUGGUAGUCCACGCCGUAAACGAUGUCUACUUGGAGGUUGGUGUCUUGAACACUGGCUUUCGGAGCUAACGCGUUAAGUAGACCGCCUGGGGAGUACGGUCGCAAGAUUAAAACUCAAAUGAAUUGACGGGGGCCCGCACAAGCGGUGGAGCAUGUGGUUUAAUUCGAUGCAACGCGAAGAACCUUACCUACUCUUGACAUCCAGAGAACUUUCCAGAGAUGGAUUGGUGCCUUCGGGAACUCUGAGACAGGUGCUGCAUGGCUGUCGUCAGCUCGUGUUGUGAAAUGUUGGGUUAA
Molecule: ribosomal RNA, 1070 nt
Filed under: Photobacterium salinisoli
Lineage: Bacteria; Pseudomonadati; Pseudomonadota; Gammaproteobacteria; Vibrionales; Vibrionaceae
Description: bacterial SSU rRNA
Rfam family: Bacterial small subunit ribosomal RNA
Source: RNAcentral